CCUACGGGAGGCAGCAGUGGGGAAUAUUGCACAAUGGGGGGAACCCUGAUGCAGCAACGCCGCGUGAGUGAAGAAGUACCUCGGUAUGUAAAACUCUAUCAGCAGGGAAGAAAAGGAACCUCGGUUCCACAUGACGGUACCUGACCAAGAAGCACCGGCUAAAUACGUGCCAGCAGCCGCGGUAAUACGUAUGGUGCAAGCGUUAUCCGGAUUUACUGGGUGUAAAGGGAGCGCAGGCGGCGCGGCAAGUCAGAUGUGAAAGCCCGGGGCUCAACCCCGGGACUGCAUUUGAAACUGCCGGGCUAGAGUAUCGGAGAGGCAAGUGGAAUUCCUAGUGUAGCGGUGAAAUGCGUAGAUAUUAGGAGGAACACCAGUGGCGAAGGCGGCUUGCUGGACGAUC
RNAcentral lists this ribosomal RNA (400 nucleotides) under uncultured bacterium. RNAcentral's name for it is "bacterial SSU rRNA". It matches the Rfam family "Bacterial small subunit ribosomal RNA", at positions 338 to 738 of the family's 1533-position model. The record is from RNAcentral.